UACAGAGGUGGCAAGCGUUGUUCGGAAUUACUGGGCGUAAAGGGCGCGUAGGCGGCCCGUCAAGUCCCGUGUGAAAGCCCCCGGCUCAACCGGGGAACUGCACGGGAAACUAGCAGGCUUGAGUUCGGGAGAGGGAAGCGGAAUUUCGGGUGUAGCGGUGAAAUGCGCAGAUAUCCGAAGGAACACCGGUGGCGAAGGCAAUCCCCUGGGCCUGUACUGACGCUCAUGCACGAAAGCGUGGGGAGCAAACAGG
Molecule: ribosomal RNA, 253 nt
Filed under: uncultured bacterium
Lineage: Bacteria
Description: partial 16S ribosomal RNA
Rfam family: Bacterial small subunit ribosomal RNA
Source: RNAcentral